This 165-nucleotide small RNA is filed under the name Pararhizobium antarcticum. Its description in RNAcentral is "Rhizobiales sRNA Atu_C9". It matches the Rfam family "Rhizobiales sRNA Atu_C9". The record is from Rfam by way of RNAcentral. Lineage: Bacteria; Pseudomonadati; Pseudomonadota; Alphaproteobacteria; Hyphomicrobiales; Rhizobiaceae.
CGUUAGCGGCAAGGAGGGUCAGUUAUGGGACUUACACAUUCGUUGAAUGUCCUCAUGAUCAGUGCAGCGUUCGUGUUCGUGGCGACAAUGCUUUUCAUUUAAUGGCAGGAACGAGCAGUCCAGACGGUGAAUUCGAACUUUAAUACCGCACAGAAAUUGCAGCAU